This 8114-nucleotide long non-coding RNA is filed under the name Hordeum vulgare. RNAcentral describes it as "long non-coding RNA (HVUL_LNC013882)". Lineage: Eukaryota; Viridiplantae; Streptophyta; Magnoliopsida; Poales; Poaceae. The record is from RNAcentral.
GCUGAGCAACUCCUUGGCUGGAGGCGACGAGCCGUUUUCUUCUGGUUUCUGAUCGGUCUCUGAUCUGGGAGCCGACCUGCUUCUUCGGAACCGUUUAGCUCCUUCUAACGGCUUCCUUUGGAGCACGUCGGCGUUGUGGUUAUCAGGUACCAAUGCUCGUUGAAUACUGUUGUCAGACAUUGGUUUAGGUUGCGAAUUGCCGUCAGAAUCAAAAACCUAUUAUUCAGAGAAUGUCACACGUUACAGAUAAGCGAGAAGGAAGUUUAGAAGCUCAUCAAAUAUCAGGUAAAAAUUAAGGCAAGACGGUGGAUAUGCACUGAAUUGCAUGGACAACUGAGAGACAUUUUUUUUCCUAUCACCAUCAUUCUAAGCAUUGAAUUUUUUAACUGCAGGUCAAAGAGAGGCAGACAAAGUAAGAACAUCUUAGCAGACUAUGUACAAAUCGACCCUUAAAAACGCGUAUAAGGGGCAUUGUUGACCAUUUUUACGGUACGAAAUUGUCCCGGACAGAACAGACCCUGUAAAUGGAACUGUAUUCCACUAUAGUUUUUCUUUUUCUUUUUUCCUUACGUCCCGGCGAGCCGUCUCCUGCCACGGCGUGCCUCGCCCGCCUCGCCUCCGUCUCAUCUUGGCGCCGCCCGUUCCUGGUCAUGCAUGCAGUGAAGGAGGCCUGCGUCGUCUGCCCCCGAUUGAGCUCGGCACUGCCCGCCGCCGCGCGUACGUUUCCCCGUCGUGGCCGUGCGAGCUCCCCCACCCUGCUCCGCCCUUCUUCGGUGCCGCCCACCCUGAUUCAGGCCGCCGGUAGCCUGCUUCAUCCUGCCCGUGGACGGCCGCGUCUUGGCAGUGAAGGUCGAGCUGGCCGUAAUUCGGAUCGACGGCGACAAAUUUCGGCGUGCGGCGGCUUCUUUUGACAUGCAGUGACGGAUUCCGGUGAGUUUCAGAUAGAUUCCGGCCAGUUCCGCGGCGACGCGUUUGCUCCGACGAGGUUUGACCAGUUUACGGGUUGAACUGUAUACUGCUUUCAAAAGUGCACAUAUAAGGUUUUCACCGAUGGAUUUAGCGUGGCCUUUAAAAAGUUUACAGGUCGAACAAGUUUUACGGGGUCUGAUCCACGCCGUUUUUCCGAUCGAAACUGUAAACAUUUCAUUUUUUUACGGGUUUAACCAGUUUAUGGGGUCUGCUAGAAGGCCAAUACUUACUAGUAGAUGUUAUCUUGAAUUCCUGAUGUUGACUUUCUGGGCCUUUAGGCACAGAAUUCUCCUCUUAUCCAGUAUAAAAAUAAGGGCCGAUUCCUAUUUACCUAUUCUGUCGCUUUCUCUCUGGACAAAGUCGCACUGCUACUGGCUCAGAUCGGAUCUCUACAGCUAGCUUAAUCUGCAACCCAAGGAACUGAGAAGCUAAGUGCUGGAAAGUUAACCUUGAUGAGAGACGAAAAGGGGAAGCGAGACGAGCAGGGGAAGCAUUUCCCACUCUGCUAUACAACAGUAGCAUCUACUCGUGUUGAAGCUACAUACAGAAUCAAAGCCAUUCGCACGAAGCAAGCAGAGCACAGUUCAGAAGGCAGAGAGAUUAUCAUCCCUUACCUCCCUCCGGCCGACGGAAGCUGGGCGACGCUUUGGGGUGUCGAGGCGCCUUUCUUACUCCUUUUCUUCUUCUUCUUCUUCCCUCGAGCUCUACUGCUUUGCUCAGCUGAUCGAUCUCCUCCCGCUCCGCGUUGGCUCGCUUUUUGUCGACCCGAGCUGCGACCUGAGGCCUGGGCUGAGAGGCACGGAGAUGGGGACGCACGCACGCGCCACGACGGCCGCGCCGGAUCUCUCUACGUGUUGGCGCCGCGUGGGUUGAGCUGUAGAGGUCCCGCCGCUUUGACGUGGCCGGCCCCACCGUGCCGGCGCAAGUUGGAACCCUUCGCCUCGCCGUUUUGUUGACCUUCCUGACCCGGAGGGGGCGCGGCGCGAACCGAUCUGGCGGGUCCAGGUCGGUUGGCCGCAGGCAAAAUUCAGCAGGACUGCUGCUCCGUUUCUCAGAUCAAGAUCCAACUGAGAUCGGAUCCGAGCUCGGCAUGUUUAGCUGAACGAAAUGCAACCGUGCAAGGAGGUGGGGUGCGGGCGUCCAGCGAAUCGGGAUAAGAAAGGGCCUACAUGUCACUCUCUCCCCUCGUGCCUCGUGCCCUUCAUGAAAGCUCCACCCACCGGCCACCGCCCCCAUCACUCUCUGGUAUCGUUGCUCAUUCAAGAACGAUGUUUCUAGCUUGCUUUGCGACGCGGUAGGAACAUUUAAUAAAGAUGUCAAUCAGCCAAUGGGUUGGUUUUUGCACGGGUUGACCAAUCCCAUUGUUAGAUUCUGGAGGCCUCUCAGGGCGCUUGCAAUUUCGGCCGUCGGAUUGCGUUUUCAAACGAAUUCGGUCCGUCGGAUCUUCCUGGCCAUAAUGUGUGUGCUCUUCUCUAAUUACUAGCAAAAUGACCCGUGCGUUGCAACGGAAGAAAAAAACAUAAUCUUCAAUGAUGAUGACCACAUUAUGUUCACACAUAAUCGCUUGAUUUCGAAAUUUUGUGCACAAAUGCAAGAAAAUGUUUCUUCUUUUAAAUUUAUUCACAAGUUGAAGCAAUCUUUGCAUUUUCAAAAAAAAUAUAUAUAUCAUGGUUGUCAAAAAUCUUGGUAACUCAAAGAAUUAUUCUUAAUUUCAAGAUUUUUUUUUAGAAACACAUACAAUAAUAAUUCGAUCCAUCCAACAAUUAAUUCUUCAAAAAUCACACGGGUAUAUUUUCACAAAGACUUAGAAGCAUUAAUGUUUAACUACAUACAUUAGAUCUUUCAUGAACAAUUUUACAAAUAUGAGAACAAUUUUAAAAUUAAGAACUUUUUUUACAAUUUACAAACAUUUACUAAAAAUUGUGAAUAUUUUUUAUAUUUCAAACGGGUUUAAAUAUUUUCUUUUGAAUUGGCGACCAAUUCUAGAAAAGACGAACAUAAGUUUUUAUGUUGCAGGAUUUUACUUUAAAUUCACAAACAUUUUUGAAACGCAUGAAGUUUUGCUGAAUAAACAAACAUUUUUAUAAGUCAGUAAUAUAUUUAUUAAAUUCAUGACAUUGUUUUUGAAUUUGCAAAAUUUUUUAUAAAAAUCCGGCGCCUUUUUUGAAUCCACAAACAUUUUAUGUUUUCGUCAACAUUUAAUUCGAAAUUCCUAUUUUUUAAUAUGCAAAUGCUUUUGUAAUUCUAAAUUAUUUAAAUUAGAAGUAAACAAAAAUGGAACGGACAAAAUUAAAUAAAAAAGAAACUAUCAAAACAGGCAUUAGCUAUUUUUAAAUGCAUUAACAUAUUUUGAAUUAGAAAGCAUUUUGUUAAAUGCUUUUAAUAAUUUUUAAUACAUGGAAUUUGAUUUGAAAUCAUGGACUUUUCUUAUUGUAUAAACAUUUUUUCAAACUUGCAAACAUUUUAUUGUAUAUGCGAGCAUUUUUUAUAAAGACUCCGAGCAGUUUUUGAAGUCACAAACAUUUUAUUUUUUAAAAUAUGUUGAUUUAAAAUUUUAAGUUUAUUAAAAGUUUAAAGGUUAUUUGAAGUUCUAAAUUAUUUAAAAUAGAAAAAUAAAAUGGAACUGAAGAUAAAUAAAUAAUUGGAACUAAAAAAACUGAUGCCUGUGCAUGGGCCGGCCAAUACGGUGUGCUGGAUAUUCUCUCGGGGUGCAGAGCGGAGGUUUUUACAUGGGCCGGCCCAGUCUGAGAUUUUUCGUUUUGUGAAACGUUUUCUAUUACAUACCGGUGACAUGGUGGGUAAUUUAUGCAAACUUUAUGGGCAAUUUUCAUGACGUACCACAUAAGCAAUAGGUGCUUUAUUAAUAUCUCUAAUCUCUAACUAGACCAUGAUGGCGCGUGUUGCCGCGCCCGUCCAUUUGGUAAAUGGUAGAAAUUUAGUGAAAUAAAUUAAGACGUGAAACAUGGAAAUCAAAUUUUCAUCACGAACAAUGAUGCACUAAAGGUCAUGCCAAGAUGAAAAAUAUGAAAAUAAUCUAUUGGUGUAGUGGGCUUACAAUAUGUGUUCGUGGCCAUGCAAAUGUAUGAAAUAAAGAGUACAUGUCGAGGGCUACACUUGGCAUCACAAAUUCAAAUACAAGGAAUGAUAUCCAGAAGGUACCUUUAUAGCACAUCAAUAACACACCAUCCUCUAUUUUUGUACGUCCGUGUGUGUUCCUUCCAUCAAGCAGUUGAAGAAAAUUAUGUGCGGAAAUUGUGCUACCGCAAGAAAAAUAAUUGUAAUGCUCGGUGCACAUAUUCUGCAAUAACUUGGCUUGUGCUAAGCAAUUAGUUAACUAUUCAUGUCCCUUUCUAUACCGAACCACCGUCUAUCUAUCAUGCCAUCAUUUUUGUUUGUCGUCAUAAACGAUAUGGAUUCAUAUGAAACAAUAGAUAUAGUCUAAUAAAUUGCACUUGAAACCAGUUACCUCUUGCCUGAUGUCCUCGUGACCACCAUAAUAAUUUCUUAAAUCACCCUUCAGCCUUCCAUUCAUUUGAAGCUACAAAAAGAACACACUGGAAGAAAAAAAUACUAAGAGAUGAUCAAGGUAAACACACACAUAAUGGGAUCCAACCAUGGAAAAAAUGGUGCGGGAUUCAAUAAAGAAGAAAAAAGAGGAGGAUCCAUUGCUCCAGCCCGAUCUCAUGAAUGAGAAGAUCAUGAAGACAGGAAGCCUCAAAGAAAUAGGAGGUGCAAGGAUCAUGCUCGUCAUUAAUUUGCCCAUAAUCCCAGUGUUUAUUCUGUCAUCAGUCAACAUAAACAAUGAAAUAAUUUUGGAAAAAAUCACAUUUUUUAUGUAGAAGCAGCAAUUAGAUUAUUAACAAUUGAUAAAUAUGGUAUUGCAUUUAACUGAAUGUAAAAUGGAGUACCGGGCUAAUCUUGCAAAGACACACCCCUGCAGUAGUAAAGUUUCAUCUGCUGCGCCUUCGGUGAGAGAUUCUAAUGUCUGUAUCAAGGGUUCAGAGAAAGGUAGUCAGCCAUGAGAAAAUCAAACACGAACUAAUCAAUCUUACAACUUGUCAUGACGUCCAUGUAGUUCUCAGUAGGAAGAAGGUCACACCAACGAGGAUCAGGUGUGCUUGUUCGUCGGCCCCAUCAUGCUUUUCUCCACCAUCUGUUUGCUUUCUAUCUCUCUAACCAAUCGAUCAAGAACCAUCGUGAUAGAUUGGAGAUCGGAGUGAAAAUAUUAUACUUGUUCUUGAUUCAGUCACAGCAUACUUUGUCGAGUACGUGAGGUCCAUCCACAAAAUCAUUUAGGAGAGCACAAACACAACACCCAGAAUUCAAAACCGAGAGAGAUCAGGUGAGGAGUAGAGGAGGAAAUCCGCGAACUUACGAAGUGGCCCAGGAACGGUGGCGGCAGCUCCAUCCCAAUCGUCCAUGUUGCUACACGAGGAGGCUGGGGCGAAGGGGGUCGUCGUGGGGUUCCGAUUGUUUGUGCCGCCGUCGCCGUAGAUGGGGAGAAUAGGGGAGUUGCUCUAGAACCGUCGCCUUCGCACCUGCACGGAAUCGCACAAACGCUCGUCAUCCGUCGGUGCUUAAUGGGCUGGUCGCUUGGGCCUAAUCAACGAGGAUACUGCGUUUCGGCCACGAGAGUAGCCUCCCCUUAGGACAGCCAGCCCACGAAACACAAACAUGACACACAGAUCAGACCGAACGGCUAGAAAUGGUUUGAUCAGAAAAAUUAACGGUCCAAACAUCUCAUGGCGUGAGAAGAUAGGGAUUAGGCUCAGUUUUACUGUCCUAAAUUUGUUAACCCCAGUUCACUUUGGGUCCAUAAGGUGUGUGUUCUUCUCCAAUCCAUACUCUUGAUGCUUCGUGUGAUUACUUUUGCAGCAGUUUCAGUUUGUUGUAAUGAGAUUGCUCAUAUUCUGUUGAACUCAAACUCUGUAGGGCUCCCAACAUUUUGAAGACAUAUUAUCUACUCCCUCCGUUUCUAAAUAUAAGACCUUUUAGAGAUUAUAUUAUAAACUACAUAUGGAUGUACAUAGACAUAUUUUAGAGUAUAGAUUCACUCAUUUUGCUUUGUAUAUAGUCUUCUAGUGAAAUACCUAAAAUGUCUUAUAUUUUGGAACGGAGGGAGUAGUUAUUUUACUAGCUUGGUCUCAGCUAAGGAACUGUUGGAGCUUCCUUGCCACUUGAGAAGAGCUUGCAUUGCAUAUGCUGGCAAGCUCGCUCCUUUGUAGUGGUAUAUUCCUCGAAUGAGAGACUAUGAUGUAAGUCUCUGUGUGUGUGUGCGCGCGCGCGCCUGAAUAGAAACUCUGGGUGUUCACUUAGUUCUCCCAGGUCAUCAUCUCAUGGAAGCAAACUCCUAUUUGCCUGAGACCUCAUUAGAUAGAUUGCCGUUUGCCUUGCAAUUCUGGACCCAGGAGCAACAAAUCCAAGAAAAAAAUACAUCUACACAGGCUACCAUAUUGGAAGCUGGAAAUAUUUCAUGACUGGAAAACAAUAGCUUAACAAACUUCAUUUACACAGGUACACAAGCUUAUCAAAGCAUCACCAAAUACCUCUUUCUUACACAUGUCCAGGUGCAUAUGAGCAGAUCCAUUGUGUUAAAUACAUGUAGGAGCUCAACAAGGUCAUAUCUUUUGACACUUUACAAGAUUACAGAACUAAUUAACAGCAUUAACCGACCAUUCAACUAUAGUAUUUAAGCUGUAGAAUUAAGUACAAGCCCAUAUGUUCAUCACCGACCGGAUUGUGCAUGAGUAAGGUCAUAGGUGGAGAGCGUGCCGGACUGGUCAACGUCGAGUUUCUCAAACUCCUCUAGAAAAGAAGAUAUGUCUUCUUGGCUGAUCUUCCCCAGUUCUUUGAGCUUGUACACGACAAAUUCAGCAGCACUGCACAUAUCAAAGUUCACAAAUCAACACCGAUGCUCAUUACCUGCAAAAUCUUAAGGGAUAUGAUGGCGAGGAAGAAUACUAAAAAUGCUUUAUGCGCUUACCCCACUUUUCGAUCAUUAUCCAGAUCAGCUGCUUCAAGAUCCAUGUUUGUUAUUCUCCGUGUGAGAACCCAUUUGGCCAGCAUUUUCUGCCGUCGCUCGGUGUAGAUCUCAGCAAGGUACAUGAAGAACAGCGCCAGGAUUAUGGUGCUCGUAAUUAUCCAAAAUACCGCGAAAGUGCGCCCCAAUUUGGACGAGAAGCUUUUAUCCCCAUAGCCCAGGGCAGUUAUUGUGGCACAGACACAAUAAAAGGAAUCAACAAGGCUCAGCUUCUCAACCUUCCAGAGAAAAACAGUCCCCACAACAAUGGUUGUCACAAGAAGUAGGGCAGCAGUGUAGAAUUUGUACUUUGUCUUGUUUGUCUCAAUUUGCCUGAGCAUUUUGGCCUCGCUAAACUUCAUGUUCAUGUGCAGUGCCUUGAAGAACAGCACCUCCUGCUUCUCGACGAGAUAAUCUGCCGACUUGCUCACAAAGAGAGCAAUAAACGCCAUGCCGGUGAAGACGAAAACACAGGCGAGGAGCUUCGCCGUGUCACUGUGAGGGACAAGGUCUCCAUAACCAACCGAUGUCAUCGUGACAAUACAGAAGUAGAGUGCGUCAAGCACCCUGUUGGUUCUCUUGCCAGAUAACUGAUCCAUGACAAGGUAAAAGACGACGACGCCCGCUAGCAGGUAGAGAAAUAGGAGGAGCCCUGCUAGUCUAAAGCUCGGUCGUAUCACGCUGAACAACUCCUUGUCUGGAAGCGGCGAGCCAUUUUCUUCUGGUUUCUGAUCGGCCUCUGAUCUGGGAGCCGACCUGCUUCUUCGGAACCGUUUAGCUCCUUCUGACGGCUUCCUUUGGAGCACGUCGGCGUUGUGGUUAUCAGGUAGCAAUGCUCGUUGAAUACUGUUGUCAGACAUUGGUUUAGGUUGCGAAUUGCCGUCACAAUCAAAAACCUAUUAUUCAGAGAAUGUCACACGUUACAGUAUUGGUGUUACAGAUAAGCGAGAAAGAAGUUUAGAAGCUCAUUAAAUAUCAGGUAAAAAUUAAGGCAAGACGGUGGAUAUGCACUGAAUUGCAUGGACAAUUGAGAGACAAUUUUUUUCCUAUCACCAUCAUUCUAAGCAUUGAAUUUUUAACUGCAGGUCAAAGAGAGGCAGACAAAGUAACUUGGGUCAAAAAUAAG